ACAAAACCCCCCACACACAUCAAACAUUUUCACAGCUCCCUUUUUUGCAGUAAACACUCUUAUAUUUUCACGGUUAAUUCUCUCUUCCAAAGUCCAAACCCAAACCAUAGCCGCCACCACCUCUCUCUAGAAAUCUGGUUGCCACCACCUCUUGAAUCUUGGUUGCCAUCGAGACUUUGGAUGUACCUAAAGCAUCUCUUUUUCAUUGUGGGUAACUGGGUAUAAAUUGUUAAGAAUGACCGACUAAACCGAGCCGCACCGGUGCUCAAAUACCGCACCGAUGGACGCCGGAGAACCGAUCUCUAUUGACGAUGAACGGAGGUGGUGGAGAGGUAACCGAUACCGAUGGUGCGGUGGCAAAUUUGCCCAAAAACCGCACCGGGUAAUUUAAGAGAUUCAGCUUCAGCCUUGUGAAGGACUAAAUCUCAAAGACAAAGGCUUAAAGGGCUCCUGGGUAUUUUCUCAUACUAAUGUAUAAUUUUUUUUUGAGUUCACUAAUGUUUGAAUUUUUUUUUCUAUGCUAUUUGAUUUUGUUUUAAGGGUUAUUUUUUAUUUUGUUUUCAGUUCACCACGUUGUGUCGAACUUUCAUGUUUGUGCUUGAUUUUGCUUUUAGGUUUUUCUUUUUAAGGUUCACUCAUGUUAUUUACUGUUUGAUUUUGUUUCUAGGGUUCACAGAUUGCAAAUUUAUUUGUUGAUCAUCAAUUUUAUUGAUUAUACUAUUGUGAUUUUAGUUUAUUAUAUCAUGCUAUUGAUUGAUUAUGCUGUUGUGAUUUUAGUUUAUUAUAUCAUGCUAUUUUAGUUUAUAAAGAAGUCAAAAUGGGCUCAAAAUGAUAUUUUUUGAAGGCCCAAAAGCCCAAAACUUAGAAUUUUAAUCUUUAAAAGUCCAGCCUAUAUAACCGAAUGAACUGCACUGAGCCGCUAUGAUUAUCCGCAUUUUGUGUAGAUCGAUUCUUACCUUCCAAAAGUGAGGUGCGCGGUCAAGCAUAGGAUGAAACUGUACCCUAUAGACGUGGUGCAAAAAACCUCUCCAAAACCGACCAGACCAAACCGAACUGAGUACAUCAUUUAGGCAUAAUCUGAUAGUUAUUUGGGCUUUUGAAAUAAAAAUAAAUAUAAGGAUAAAAUAAGAAGAUGGGUUGAUUGGGGUUUUGUGUUUAGGCCGGAUUGGACUCAUUGGGUCGGCUGCCAUUUAAAACUAGAAACCUCAUAAGCCCACUCCACUAAAAAUGCCCAAACCCACGCAUUUAAAAAAAAAAAAAAAAAAAAAAAAAGCUGCAGCCAGCUUAACCUUUAAACCCAGCUCCAACUCAAGAUUCUUUUUAUUAGACUCAAGCCCAUCAGCUCACAUAAUUCCACAAAGCCCAAUCCGUGUGCAAAUUAGAGCCAGCAAACUGAAUUUGAACCCAACAACAGCUCGAUCCGAAUCUAUUUGGCCCAAUAACCACUUCCACACCAGCCCACUGACAUUCAAACAAAUACCCACUC
This is a long non-coding RNA of Quercus robur (English oak), 1486 nucleotides long. RefSeq lists it as uncharacterized. Lineage: Eukaryota; Viridiplantae; Streptophyta; Magnoliopsida; Fagales; Fagaceae. The transcript has 3 exons. The record is from RefSeq and is a predicted model, not a curated record.